This 506-nucleotide ribosomal RNA is filed under the name uncultured bacterium. RNAcentral describes it as "bacterial SSU rRNA". It matches the Rfam family "Bacterial small subunit ribosomal RNA", at positions 35 to 507 of the family's 1533-position model. The record is from RNAcentral.
ACGAACGGCUGGCGGCCGUGCCUAAUACAUGCAAGUCGAACGGUCUUUUCUAUGGAAGCUUGCUUCCACUGAGAAGAUAGUGGCGAACGGGUGAGUAACACGUGGGUAACCUGCCCAUAAGAGGGGGAUAACAUCCGGAAACGGGUGCUAAUACCGCAUAGUUUCUUGAUCGCAUGAUUGAGAAAGGAAAGACGGCCUUUGUGCUGUCGCUUAUGGAUGGACCCGCGGCGUAUUAGUUAGUUGGUGAGGUAACGGCUCACCAAGACGAUGAUACGUAGCCGACCUGAGAGGGUGAUCGGCCACAUUGGGACUGAGACACGGCCCAAACUCCUACGGGAGGCAGCAGUAGGGAAUCUUCCGCAAUGGACGAAAGUCUGACGGAGCAACGCCGCGUGAGUGAAGAAGGUUUUCGGAUCGUAAAACUCUGUUGUCAGAGAAGAACAAGUUGGAGAGUAACUGCUCCAGCCUUGACGGUAUCUGACCAGAAAGCCACGGCUAACUACGUG